UUGUAUCUCCUCCUGGCUCUCAAACUGCAACUCUUGCCCUCUGUGCCGGUCUAACGUCUCCGGAGGAAAAUGAGUAGGAAUUUUUUCAUAUCUCUUUCAUUCAUUUUUGGGUUUUCUUUUGAUCGGAAAGAUUUAUUAUUUUCACAAGGAGAUUAAUAAUUUUUUCCCAAAUCACACUUCUUCUUCUUCGACUAAAUCUAAUCAGACUAGACAAUGCCAAAAAUGAAUGAAAGAGAUAUGAAAAAAUUC
RNAcentral lists this unclassified non-coding RNA (249 nucleotides) under Hevea brasiliensis (rubber tree). The record is from RNAcentral. Lineage: Eukaryota; Viridiplantae; Streptophyta; Magnoliopsida; Malpighiales; Euphorbiaceae.